RNAcentral lists this ribosomal RNA (497 nucleotides) under uncultured bacterium. RNAcentral describes it as "partial 16S ribosomal RNA". It matches the Rfam family "Bacterial small subunit ribosomal RNA", at positions 28 to 507 of the family's 1533-position model. The record is from RNAcentral.
GAUGAACGCUGGCGGCGUGCCUAAUACAUGCAAGUCGAGCGAACGGACGAGAAGCUUGCUGCUCUGAUGUUAGCGGCGGACGGGUGAGUAACACGUGGAUAACCUACCUAUAAGACUGGGAUAACUUCGGGAAACCGGAGCUAAUACCGGAUAAUAUUUUGAACCGCAUGGUUCAAAAGUGAAAGACGGUCUUGCUGUCACUUAUAGAUGGAUCCGCGCUGCAUUAGCUAGUUGGUAAGGUAACGGCUUACCAAGGCAACGAUGCAUAGCCGACCUGAGAGGGUGAUCGGCCACACUAGAACUGAGACACGGUCCAGACUCCUACGGGAGGCAGCAGUAGGGAAUCUUCCGCAAUGGGCGAAAGCCUGACGGAGCAACGCCGCGUGAGUGAUGAAGGUCUUCGGAUCGUAAAACUCUGUUAUUAGGGAAGAACAUAUGUGUAAGUAACUGUGCACAUCUUGACGGUACCUAAUCAGAAAGCCACGGCUAACUACGUG